Molecule: long non-coding RNA, 2108 nt
Organism: Lycium barbarum (goji berry)
Lineage: Eukaryota; Viridiplantae; Streptophyta; Magnoliopsida; Solanales; Solanaceae
Exons: 3
Source: RefSeq, a predicted model, not a curated record
GUAACUUUUAGUGUUUGCAGAGCUGUUCCAUUAUUCUUUUUAACCAAGGAGUAGCCAAACUGCAAGAAUGAUACAGUGCAAGCUGAUUUGGCGGUCCAUUCUUUUAACCCUUUAAUAUAUAUAAUACCACCAAUGAUAAAAGUGUGGGGUCCAGUCCUCUAUCCCAUAUUUUAAGAAAGGAAGAUUUUUCUUCCUUUGACAAAAUCACAUUGGUAGCAAUUGUGGAAUUGGCCAACAAGUCAAUUCUUUUGUUCACAUAGCCGUGAUGUAAGCGCUUACCUCAUCUUAGUCGUGAUGUAAGCGCUUACCUCAUCAUAGUCGUAAUGUAAGCGCUUAGCUCAUCAUAGUCGUGGUGUAAGCGCUUACCUCAUCAUAGGAAAUUCAUUCCUAUAAAUAGGCGGCUUAUGGUUCAUUUGUAAUACACCAAGAUCAUUUGCUAUACACACCAAAAUCUCAGACAAUACAUCUGAGUGAGAGCAAAAGUGAGGUAUUCCAUAGACUGUAAGAAAAUAGUCUGUGAAGAAAAAUAGAGUGUGAGUGAUAUUGUAGUGAGGUGGGAAAAUCAAAAGAGUGUUAUUUCUUUUGAGGGUGUAGUGGUCUUAGGAGUAUUUGUACUCGUUACUACACAGUGUAAAAUUCCUCUAUAGUGAUAUCAGCUGCUCCUCUUGGCCGUGGUUUUUCCCUUAUUCAGAAGGGUUUCCACGUAAAAUCUUGGUGUCAUUAUUGCUGCAUUUUAUUCUUGCUGAUUUAACCAUAAGUUAGUGUUCCGCGUUUAUCACUAAUACCGUGAAUAUUAUUUUUGCGGGUCUAUUUUAUUCCCAUCAAAAAGGAGUCAUCGGCCUUUCCAUUCGAUUGCUUCAUUAUAGUAUUCAGUUCUUUUUCUGUUCUAUUCUUUCCUUUGGGAUGCAAUGCUACAAGCGUGAACGCCUUUUGGUAUCUUUUUUCUUUUUUUGCUAAAUAACUUGUAUUAUUACCGAAAUUGAGAAGUUUUAGCACAAUGGAGCUAUGCUACUGAACAUCAAGUCCCAAUAGUCAGCUCAGCCAUAGUUACAUGAGAAAGCUCAGUAAACACAAAACAACAAAUACUCUACUACACUGAUCAGUCCAAGACUCAUAACUACAAUGGAUAAAAAGCCUUUUGGUUUCUUGUGCAUUACAUAAUACCAAUAUACCUUGACUAAGAAAAAUAUAUAUAUAUUUUUUUUUCAAUUUGAAGUUGUCUAUUGCAGCCAAUAAUGUUUUUUUAUGUUUCUACCAUUAAUAAAUUCUCCAUCUAAAAGCUAUUGAAACCGUUGUAUGUUCUUUAGUUCUUGAUAUUCUUUUUUUACAGGAUUCUGGACAGCAGCGGUGAGCGGUUGCUUACCUUAUAUUAGACUUGUGCUUGAAAGAGUAGUAGACAAUGCUUAAAAAACCAGCUUGGGUUUAGCUUAAGAUCAGACGUAGAUGAUUUAAUCACUUAGGAAGCCAUUUGGACUUCUACAGUACGAGUAGGAGUUGUGCUUUAAUUGAUAUGCUCGCUUUUCCUAAGGACUGUUAGAUCAGGUAUCUCUUUUUAAUUCAGAGGGAAGAUGGAUGAGCAAAGUAAAGUUCAGGAAAUGCUUACCAUUGACAAGAAGAAGAAUCCACAAAAUCAUGACCUAAGUGCUGCAGGAUGCCCCAAUAGUGGCAUUUUAUGGACUGAGAUGGCGCCUUAUCUCAAUUUUCAUGUUAUUGUUGUAGUUGGAAAGUUAAUUUGGCAAAAGAGGAAGUUAGACAUGAAUUCGACAUUAUGUUUUAUUGUUGCACCAGGUAUACAAAUUUUUAGGCAAUUUAUUACAAGUUCCAAGAACAUCAUGGUAGUAGAUUGCCAGAGGAAUGUUGUUGUAAAGAGCUAUGUUGCUGCAAAGCUAAAAAAUGGUAAAAACUGCCCACUGACGAUGGUAACACCAAGGAUGACCUUAGGCUUCCUACCGAUGAUAAACCUCCUUACCUCCUUACGCAGGUAUUGAUCUUUCUUCAACUAAAGCAAAAGCAGCAAGGAGAAAGACAUUCUUAGAAAAUUUCACCAUUUUCUUGUGUAAAUUAGUCUUGGUGGAAAAAUAUAUUUUGGCAUGUUGCUCCCAUUUAAA